CAAUAGCGUAUAUUAAAGUUGUUGCAGUUAAAAAGCUCGUAGUUGGAUUUGUGGCGUACGGUGUGUUCCGGGCACCUGUUGUCUGAGUAACCUGCUGUUGCCAUCCUUGGGUGGAACCUGUGUGGCAUUAGGUUGUCGUGCAGGGGAUGCCCAUCAUUUACUGUGAAAAAAUUAGAGUGUUCAAAGCAGGCUUAUGCCGUUGAAUAUAUUAGCAUGGAAUAAUGAGAUAGGACUUUUUUGCUAUUUUGUUGGUUUGCGCAAAGAGGUAAUGAUUAAUAGGGACAGUUGGGGGUAUUCGUAUUCCAUUGUCAGAGGUGAAAUUCUUGGAUUUUUGGAAGACGAACUACUGCGAAAGCAUUUACCAAGGAUGUUUUCAUUAA
RNAcentral lists this ribosomal RNA (380 nucleotides) under uncultured eukaryote. RNAcentral's name for it is "partial 18S ribosomal RNA". It matches the Rfam family "Eukaryotic small subunit ribosomal RNA", at positions 592 to 976 of the family's 1831-position model. The record is from RNAcentral.